RNAcentral lists this ribosomal RNA (305 nucleotides) under uncultured bacterium. RNAcentral's name for it is "bacterial SSU rRNA". It matches the Rfam family "Bacterial small subunit ribosomal RNA", at positions 1033 to 1337 of the family's 1533-position model. The record is from RNAcentral.
GACAGGUGCUGCAUGGCUGUCGUCAGCUCGUGUCGUGAGAUGUUGGGUUAAGUCCCGCAACGAGCGCAACCCUUAUCCUUAUUUGCCAGCACGUAAUGGUGGGAACUCUAAGGAGACUGCCGGUGACAAACCGGAGGAAGGAGAGGAUGAUGUCAAGUCAUCAUGGCCCUUACGGCCUGGGCUACACACGUGCUACAAUGGGAAGUACAGAGGGCCGCAAUACUGCAAAGUGGAGCAAAUCCCAGAAAACUUCUCGUAGUCCGGAUUGGAGUCUGCAACUCGACUCCAUGAAGUCGGAAUCGCUA